GGGGGCGACACGGCUUCGACGUGGGCGCUGAAGCAUGAGGAGCAUACCGGGGCGCACAGGGACCUCGAUAAAAAGGUGCAAACUUUUAAUUGCUAACGAAAACGUAGCAAUGGCAGCUUAGUGCUGCCACGGUCACUAACUUAAUCGAUGGUGUUGAGUUAACUGGCUGUAAUUAAUGCCAUAUCGGUUGAGUGUUGUUUUCUCCAGGGCACCAACUUAAAAAUGCUGGUGGAAUGAUGGCAGUGAUUUUGUCUAUGGAAGCGAAGUCAUCAUAAUUAAAACAUAGACUAAGUAUGAAGCGCCUUAUCGUGGAUCACCUGCGGACGGGGGUUCAAUUCCCCCCGCCUCCACCA
RNAcentral lists this transfer-messenger RNA (353 nucleotides) under Pseudobdellovibrionaceae. RNAcentral describes it as "UBA2316 sp017302835 Standard tmRNA". It matches the Rfam family "transfer-messenger RNA". From Rfam's summary of the family: Bacterial tmRNA, also known as 10Sa RNA or SsrA, is named for its dual tRNA and mRNA-like properties. Its role is to liberate the mRNA from a stalled ribosome. The record is from RNAcentral. RNAcentral also lists the same sequence under 1 other name. Lineage: Bacteria; Pseudomonadati; Bdellovibrionota; Bdellovibrionia; Bdellovibrionales.